UUAACAACAACUAAUCAAUGUAUUAAUUAAAAUCCAUCAAUUAUGAUUAAACAACAACCAAAAAUAGGGAAGAGGAAUUAGGUUUAUGUGCUUGUGGCCUUUGAAAUUUCUCACUCUUUCACUCACGAACAAACGGCGGCCGGAGACGGUAACACCACUCUCCUAUUCUCCGAUCGAAGCCUUCCUCCGCCAUGAAUUGGAGAAAAAUCUUAUCUCAACUUUCCUCUUUCCGAUGUCCCUCACUCUCAAUCUCUUCUUGUGAACGGCGGCGACGGCGCAGUGGAUCUCCCUUCUCCGAUUCUCACUCACUACGACGGCGGUGCUCUCAACAAACUCUCUUCUCCGGUAUCGAUCUCUCAAACCUCGGCUUUCAAUCUCUUUCAACUUCUCUGAUAUUCCUCUGCUUCUUGCGUGAUACUGAGUCAUCGUAGAUUGGAGAAGCUUGAUUCUAAAUAUCUAAUAAUGAAUUGAAGAUGAUUGUUGAGAUUGAUACAGAUUCGUUAUGAAUUUCCUCUGGACAAUUGGAGUUUCAAGAGAUCGUAGAUCUUGUGAUUCUGAGGAUUCGAUUGAGUGAAUUGAAGAGUACUGAAGGCAAACGCGAUGUUAAUGUUGAAGUUGUUAUAUCCCGGUCUUGGUCAUGAUGAUGAAUUGGGAGAGGAAUCUUGAAUGAUGAAGCUUGAAGAGUGCAAUUUGAAGGUUGAAUUAGAGAGAAGAUUGAAAAUAGGAAGAGGUUCUGAGAUAAGAUAGAGAAUCGAAGGAAUGAGAUGAUUGAAGUGUUGAUUGUGGUUGAUGAUUGGAGGAUUAUGGUGAUUCGAUGAUGAUGCGAUGAUGAAGAUGGAGAGAGGAUUCAAAAGAGACUCAAAGUUUGUUACAGAUUCGGUUCUGAUUUUCUCCUCCAAUUUUCUGUUACGUUUUUCGGUUUUCUGCAAGAUUCCUCUUACGUCUUUUUCUUUUCUCCUCUAAUUCUUCAGUUAUGAGUUUUUUUUUGCUACUAGUGAAUUGGACCACAGUGUCUUUUUGGGUGAAGUGCAGGCUCGGUUUUGGUUGUGAGGGAUGGCUGAACCGGUUCAAUCGUUCUUGCUGGUUUGUUUCGAUAUGGCAUACGGGUUCUGAUGGUACCGUAUUGGUGCUGCACAUCUUUACACUGAGCCGGUUUUGAAGUUCACGGUUUGGACCGUUUUUUGAGUGCAAGGCGGUUCCUUCGGUCUUAUUUGCUUUUUUUUGUUUUUUGGAUAGAAGAUAUUGUAUUGGGUUAAUUGGAGCAGAGUUGGAAUAUCAGAAACAAAGCAUAUUUCUUUUUUUGGUUUUUUAUGAGUGAUAAGUUUGAAUAUGUAAGAUUGGACUUGGAUUUUUUUUGACACUUUCUUUGUAAUGGAUAUUGAAACGUAUAAUGAA
Vicia villosa (hairy vetch) is the source of this 1395-nucleotide long non-coding RNA. RefSeq lists it as uncharacterized. The record is from RefSeq and is a predicted model, not a curated record. The transcript has 2 exons. Lineage: Eukaryota; Viridiplantae; Streptophyta; Magnoliopsida; Fabales; Fabaceae.